GAUGAAGAACGUAGCGAAAUGCGAUAAGUAAUGUGAAUUGCAGAAUUCAGUGAAUCAUCGAAUCUUUGAACGCACCUUGCGCUCCCUGGUAUUCCGGGGAGCACGCCUGUUCGAGUGUCGCGAUAUUCUUCAAGCCUUGGAUGGAUUUUUUUUUUGUCUGUCCUUGGGCUUGGUUGUUGGGCUCUGCCGUGUCCUUCAUUGGGACGGCUGGCCUUAAAAGCAUUAGCCGAUCCUCGUGUGGUACUGGUUCUACUCAGCGUGAUAACAAUCUGAUCGUUGAGGACAUCUUCUGGAUGGCCAGUCAUCAUUUGGGUUGCUUCUAAACCGGUUUCGCAGAUUGCUCAAUCUGUGUGCCACUUUUCAGCUUUGACCUCGAAUCAGGUGGGACUACCCGCUGAACUUAAGCAUAUCAAUAAGCGGAGGA
This 424-nucleotide unclassified non-coding RNA is filed under the name soil metagenome. Its description in RNAcentral is "partial contains 5.8S ribosomal RNA, internal transcribed spacer 2, and large subunit ribosomal RNA". The stretch from base 1 to 120 matches the Rfam family "5.8S ribosomal RNA", at positions 35 to 154 of the family's 154-position model. The record is from RNAcentral.